GAUGAACGCUGGCGGCGUGCCUAAUACAUGCAAGUCGAGCGAACGGACGAGAAGCUUGCUUCUCUGAUGUUAGCGGCGGACGGGUGAGUAACACGUGGAUAACCUACCUAUAAGACUGGGAUAACUUCGGGAAACCGUAGCUAAUACCGGAUAAUAUUUUGAACCGCAUGGUUCAAAAGUGAAAGACGGUCUUGCUGCCACUUAUAGAUGGAUCCGCGUUGCAUUAGCUAGUUGGUAAGGUAACGGCUUACCAAGGCAACGAUGCAUAGCCGACCUGAGAGGGUGAUCGGCCACACUGGAACUGGGACACGGUCCAGACUCCUACGGGAGGCAGCAGUAGGGAAUCUUCCGCAAUGGGCGAAAGCCUGACGGAGCAACGCCGCGUGAGUGAUGAAGGUCUUCGGAUCGUAAAACUCUGUUAUUAGGGAAGAACAUAUGUGUAAGUAACUGUGCACAUCUUGACGGUACCUAAUCAGAAAGCCACGGCUAACUACGUG
RNAcentral lists this ribosomal RNA (497 nucleotides) under uncultured bacterium. RNAcentral describes it as "partial 16S ribosomal RNA". It matches the Rfam family "Bacterial small subunit ribosomal RNA", at positions 28 to 507 of the family's 1533-position model. The record is from RNAcentral.